Alligator sinensis (Chinese alligator) is the source of this 2504-nucleotide RNA transcript. It is a transcript of the gene named membrane associated ring-CH-type finger 10, with no coding region annotated. The record is from RefSeq and is a predicted model, not a curated record. NCBI's taxonomy places the organism in Eukaryota, Metazoa, Chordata, Crocodylia, Alligatoridae. The transcript has 11 exons.
AUGAUUUCCAAGUGAAAGUACCUGAAAGUGAUCAAGUAUCCUCUCAAACCCUCUCUUCAAAAAACUGGGUUCUGAUUAACUUACUGUAAUGUAUAAAGAGAGGGAAAGACAGAAGCUCACCAGUGAUGCUCAGUAUGCAAGGGAAAUACAGCACAAGAUGGAUUCAGAGCAUCAGGCUUGCCUAAGACGACAGGAGCAGAAUAGAGAACAGGCUGAGAAGAGACGAGACCAACAUACCAGGCCUGAACAGAGAGAGAAAACCCUAUCUUUCCUCUCUUCUACACGCAGUUAUGAAAGACCAUGGAUAUCAGCUGUACCAGUUACUAGACAGACCUCUGCAGAUGAGGGUUCUGGAUGUGAACAGAAAUCUGCUAUCAAAUCUCUUGGAAAUAAACAUGAAUCUAAAUUUCCUGAUAUCAACAAACCAUCAGUCAAGCAGAAGCAGAAAUCUACCACAAGCUCAAAAAAGGUAGAGAAAAAUCUACUCUGCCCUAACAAAAUAACUCCAGCUUCCCAGAAGCAGUCAUUUUCAAGGGGAAAGAGAGAAAACCAAAGAGGAUCAUUGGGAAGCUCAGAUAUACAGAAUAUACGAAAAUUGGAAGACAGAGACAAAAUGACCUCAUUGCUUCAGGCAAAGACAAAAGUUACCAGACGGUUUGAUUUUGGAGUCCAAAAAGACGGUAAAGAGCAGACAAGUGAAAAUACUUUUAAGUAUAAGAAGAAAUCUCAGGAAAGAAGGAAUUUAAUCCAGUCUUCCAAACUAAAUUUAGAUCAGAAAGGUCCAGACAGAGACAAGAAUAUGGAAAAUGUCUUUAUACAAGCUCAGCAAUCUUCAGCUCAGUCAUCUGCACCUACAUUUCAGGGAACCAGUGGUUCGUUUCUAUCCCAUCAAUCCAAUGGUCCAUCUCCCACAUCUACUCAAAAGGCACCUCUGAAAUUCAGAGAUGAGAACAUUUAUUCUAUGCUGUGCUUCAACAUGGAAGAUACAUAUGAAGACAAUGACAGUAGAAAAGAAGAAGAAGAAUUACUAGAAGAAGAAUUUACUUCUUUCAGUCUAAACCAGUCUCAUACUCCACUAGAACAAGCUAGCUUUCCUCACCGGACAUCCUUAGUUCAAGAUAAACAGUUUAAUUCUGAAGAAGUUAGAGAUGAUAAAAAUGUUUUAUCAAGAAGAACUGAAUCUUCCCAUCAACCACUAAGAAAACUCAGCAUAACAGACUCAGCUGUUGAGCAGUUUUCACCGGGGCAAAGAAAAUCUAGGGACAGUGGAAAGUCUUGUGCUCCUUAUCAAUGUUUUUUUGAAGAUAUGGCUUCUGAUAAAAAUGAAAAUGAAACUCUGUCGCUUAGUUCAAGAAACUCACAAACUGAAAACAAGCUAGAUGGCACAUCUAUUUCUGAGAAUCUCAAUAAUGCAAGUGCUGAUGUUUAUAACAGAGAACGGCAAUCGUAUGAAAGCAAUCAGAGAUGUUAUGCUGACCUUCUUACUUCUGCUAGGGCAACAAGUCAUCAGCCAUUAUUUUAUUCUGCAUAUAGUACUCCAAGAUCAUUAAUACGAUCUCUACAUGGGGCUGAGGCCUCAGCAAAUUUGAGCUCAACAACUGUUCCUCCUCAAGUGCUGGAUUUGGAUGGAACUUCAAGGUUUAAUGUUCAUAGACCUUUAUCUCCUAUAAGAAGUAGGGGUUCUUUUUCUGCUGUGGAAAGUUAUGACCCUUUACCUAUACUCAACCCACCUGAAGAAAGUACAUCUCCAAGUGCUCCCUCACAUGAUGAAGAGAACUUAUUAAAUUCACAAAGUUCUUUUAUAUCUCUAGAUUCUACCAACCCAAUUUUAUUUCAAUCAGAUUUCACAGCCUAUCUUUAUAUGGCUGGCAUACAGCAUGACCAGUUAUCACUUGCUUUGCUGGCAAUGUCUGAUCUACACAAUCAAAAUAAUGCUAUGAGCAACAUUACACCCUCUCAUUCACCCUUUCAUUCAAAAGAAAUAAAGAAACCCUCAACAGACCCAGAGAAGCUUAAGAGACUGAAGGAUAGUCUUCUGGAAGAAGAUUCAGAAGAGGAGGGCGACCAAUGUCGUAUCUGUCAGAUUGCGGGGGGUUCUAUAACCAAUCCACUGCUAGAACCAUGCAGUUGUGUGGGAAGCCUACAGUAUGUUCAUCAAGAAUGCUUAAAAAGCUGGCUGAAAGCUAAAAUAAAGUCAGGUGCAGAUCUGGAGACAGUAAAAAAUUGUGAGCUGUGUAAGCAGAGCCUGGUGGUUGAGCUGGGUGAUUUUAAUGUGAGUGACUAUUAUAGAAAUCACCAACAGUCACAGGCACACAGUGAGCUAAUGAAUGCAGGUGUCUACUUGGUGCUGCUGCUUCACCUUUAUGAACAGAGGUUUGCUGAACUCAUGAACUCAUAACGAAACCACCAGAGAUAAGCUCUCAAGAGAAACUAGAGCAGAGGAAAAUUAAACUGACAUUUGGUUUGCUGUCCUUUGGAUUCAAGAGGAAAUUCUACUUGCCCAU